RNAcentral lists this long non-coding RNA (854 nucleotides) under Homo sapiens (human). RNAcentral's name for it is "HSALNT0033311". Lineage: Eukaryota; Metazoa; Chordata; Mammalia; Primates; Hominidae. The record is from RNAcentral.
CUAAAACUCAGUGGACUAAUUCUCAAAAAAAAGGAUAUGUGUAGCUUUUGUUUCUUCAAUAACAAUGUAUAGAAGUGUCUUUUAAGAGUGAUUUUAAACUACUUGUCUUUCAAGAUAACUUUUAACUGAUGACUUGGGGGCACUCAUAAGCUCUCUGGGGAUAAAACUGAGAUUCCAUUAGAAUAUCUUUGUUUAGGUUGUGGACAGGGGCUCUUGCCUGUAAUCCCAGCACUUUGAGAGGCCAAGGCAGGAGAAUCGCUUGAGCCCAGAAGUUCGAGACCAGCCUGGGAAACAUGGUGAGAUCUCUUCUCUUAAAAAAAAAAAGAAAGAAAAGAAAAGAAAAAAAGAAAAAAAAAUUGGUUUAGUUUCUAAGUUCAAAGAGAGAGAGAGAGAAUAGGGAUAAAGAAGAGAAGAAAUUCCUUUCUGUACAGGGCAGCUUUAAGUAUAACUUCUUGGCGGUGUCUGAAGUGGCAGAGAGAGAAUGGCGUCUGGGAUUUGAUUCUCUGCACUGUGAUUUAAGUUCACUGAACCUUGGUUUCCUCAUCUAUAAAACGAGAAUGUUGUCUUGAAGAGCAGGUGCUUAGUACUAUUAUAGUAAGCAAAGGAGUUCAAUUAAAUUACUUCUUGGGUUUCUUUUAAAUGCCAGAAUUAAAUAAUUGUAAAAUAGAUGAACCAAUUUCCCUUCAAUUGUGAGUAGUUUAAAAUGCCACCGAAGAUGGCAGAAUAAGCCAUUAAAAUGGCUUUUAUAAAACUUUCUUCCUUCUGCUUUUAUCAACUAUAAAUUAAAGCUAUUCUAUUCAUAGUCUAAAGCUGAGGAAAUAAGCUUUUGUAACCUGCCAAUAUUUUCACCCCAG